UAAAGUUCAUAACGGAGGUAGGAAAUGCUGGCGGCGGCUUAAACAUGCAGUCGAGCGCCCGCAGGGGAGCGGCAGACGGGUGAGUAACGCGUGGGAAUCUACCCUUUUCUACGGAAUAACGCAGGGAAACUUGUGCUAAUACCGUAUGAGCCCUUCGGGGGAAAGAUUUAUCGGGAAAGGAUGAGCCCGCGUUGGAUUAGCUAGUUGGUUGGGUAAAGGCCUACCAAGGCGACGAUCCAUAGCUGGUCUGAGAGGAUGAUCAGCCACAUUGGGACUGAGACACGGCCCAAACUCCUACGGGAGGCAGCAGUGGGGAAUAUUGGACAAUGGGCGCAAGCCUGAUCCAGCCAUGCCGCGUGAGUGAUGAAGGCCCUAGGGUUGUAAAGCUCUUUCACCGGUGAAGAUAAUGACGGUAACCGGAGAAGAAGCCCCGGCUAACUUCGUGCCAGCAGCCGCGGUAAUACGAAGGGGGCUAGCGUUGUUCGGAAUUACUGGGCGUAAAGCGCACGUAGGCGGAUUGUUAAGUGAGGGGUGAAAUCCCAGGGCUCAACCCUGGAACUGCCUUUCAUACUGGCAAUCUAGAGUCCAGAAGAGGUGAGUGGAAUUCCGAGUGUAGAGGUGAAAUUCGUAGAUAUUCGGAGGAACACCAGUGGCGAAGGCGGCUCACUGCUCUGGAACUGACGCUGAGGUGCGAAAGCGUGGGGAGCAAACAGGAUUAGAUACCCUGUAGUCCACGCCGUAAACGAUGAAUGUUAGCCGUCGGGCAGUUUACUGUUCGGUGGCGCAGCUAACGCAUUAAACAUUCCGCCUGGGG
This 814-nucleotide ribosomal RNA is filed under the name uncultured bacterium. RNAcentral's name for it is "bacterial SSU rRNA". It matches the Rfam family "Bacterial small subunit ribosomal RNA", at positions 1 to 878 of the family's 1533-position model. The record is from RNAcentral.